CGCGCCGCUGGCGGCCGGGCUCGCCGAACCCGGGGCGGGGCGUGCCAGGCCCGAGCGCUCCCUCCACUCCGCACCCCUCGGCCUCUGAGCCGGCCGCGAAGUUGGGGGUUGGGAGGGCAGGUUGGAGGGCAAUGCCCGGGUGAGGUCAGGCGGACUGGACUGCCAGGUGGCGAUGCCCGGGGCGCCCGGGAGCUGGCACCUAGUCUUCUCCCGUCUCUUGAGUCGUUCGUUUUUCCAAUUCCCUCCCCGUCUUCGACCUUUAUUCUCAUUCGAGACGGUUCCAGCCCAACGGCAGCCUCCGAACCCACGUGGGGUGGCGAGAUCCGAAAGUUUCCAGCUACAAUCGGUUUGCUUGCACCCCUACCCCCAGCCUGCGCCUCCCUGAGGGCUUAAUUGUGAAGCCGAAUGUGGGCUCAAGCAUCCCCAGUCUCCUCCCACCUCGAAUAAUCACAUGUUGAAAGGCACACACGGGUGUUUGCAGCUUCGGGAGCAAAGCUGCAGAGGAGGGAGACGGCGCGGACCGUCUGGGAAGCCUGGAGUUGGGACGGAGGUGGAUCUUGCUGAGACUAAGGAGUAACCUCUAAAAGCAGUCGCAGAUGAAAAUGUUAUGUGAAGCGAGUGGCUGAUAAGUAAAUGAAUAAAACUGAACUGGGGGUGGCUGGAGCAAACACAGGCUGCCCGGGAGCCCCAGGCCUGGUCCCUGCAGUCCCACCAGAAGUGACUCCGGUGUGCCGAGUUGGGAGGAGCCGCCAAACAAAGCCAAACAGAAGGAGAAAAGACAUCCUCGUGUCUUCUUGCAACCCCCCUGCCCCCCAAAUAAACCCAAAACCCAUCACACUGUUGCCCUCAAUGGAAGUGUGACUCAGGAGCGGGCAGCACUGCUGAGUCUGGCUCUGCUGGAAAAGGGAAACUAUGGAAUUCACACAUAUUCAUUUAUAGUCUAAAAAUGACACGGUCUCUGUACAACCCCUGCAGAACCCGCGACGAGCUCUUAGCGCUCCUUGGAUGCACUGCCCUGUUCAGAUGCUUCUCCACUAGUGUCCUCUCCUGGACCCAGCCCUUGGUCCUGCAUAGCCUUAAAUCCCUAUUAUCAAAAACAAAAACAAAACAAAAAAAACCACCUCUAUCAUCUGCUUCUCUUGCCUUUAUUCAUUUUGGGGCCACACUUUGUGGUGUUUAGGGCUCAGUCCUGGGGGGCUUGGGGGGGGCCAUACAUGGUGCCAGGGAUGGAACCUAGGCUGGCCGUGUGCACUGCUCUCCGGCCGCCCCGUCACUGCAGUACUACUCUCUGCAGGGCAGAACUGACUGUCCCACUGUCAGGGACCACAGCUCAGCAGGUUUCAGUCACCACCAAAUGUCAUCAAGAAAACGCUUCAAGGCACGUUGGGGGGGGCCCUGAAUAAGGGGGGGCUAGUUCCCAGUGGGGGUCUGGAGACUGGCUGAGGAGGGCUCAGCAGAGCAGAAGGAAGGAUCUGAGAGCAGGAUUAGAGGCUGGGGCAGGGCUGGCAGGCGGAAGAGGAGCCCCAGGCUCCGGAGUGGGGGCGAGGGACGGGGAAGCCCCCAGGGUCAUCUCUCCUGCUCCAACUAGGCCAAGUUCCCCUCCUCUGUGCUGGGGGAGGCUUAUCCGGAACUGCUUGGUGAGGUCUCGCUCGGUUCCCGGAAGGCAGAUUCUAUCUCGGCCCAGGGCAGACGCCACCCUUUGCUGACCCAGACGGGAAGCCCAGACUCAUCUCUCCCUGGCUCCGGUACCAAGUCACUCUGGAACCUCAUGUCAGACCCCUGGGCUCUGCUGGGCUUGUCACCUUUCCAGAUAAUGUGUCGGAGCCUCAGUGAGGGACAUCGCAGAUGGCGAGUGUUCUCCCCAGUGACACGACCCUGGAGUGCGCACAAACGGGAGUUUGGUGAGUCCGGGUUUGGCCUUAAUCUGGUCAUUUUCUUAAAAUGGGAACCAUCCUUACUAGAAGAAUACUUAUUUUUAACUGGGGGGGUGGGAAAGGGGCACCCCUGUGCUUUGGACUCCUCCUGGCGAUGCUUGGAGGCCCAUAUGAAAUGCCGAGUGGGCCGUGGUCAAGGCAAAUGCCCUGCAGAUGUCCUCCCCGCUGUACUAUCGCUCUGGCCCCCUCCGCGGUUCAGUUUUAUGAAACAAACAAGUUCAGUCCUUCUCAUUAUCAAUUUGAGUAUUUUGUCUCAUUACUUUAAACUCUCCUAUUCCAAACUGAGAUGCGGGUCAGAGAUUUGUCCCUAAGGCCAGGCACUUGCCUUGCAUGUGGCCGCGUUGGCAACAACCCUGGUUCAAUUCCUGGCACUGCAUACAGUCGGCUGAGCACUGCCAGGGGUCACUGCUGGGCACAGGAUCAGGAACAACCCCUGAGCACUGCAGGACACGGCCCCAAGGUGCCCCCCGCAAAAAAUACUAGACAGGAAGAGUUAUAUUUCCAGAAAUGACCUCGCUUUACCUCCAAUCA
Sorex araneus (European shrew) is the source of this 2465-nucleotide long non-coding RNA. RefSeq lists it as uncharacterized. The record is from RefSeq and is a predicted model, not a curated record. The transcript is spliced from 3 exons. Lineage: Eukaryota; Metazoa; Chordata; Mammalia; Eulipotyphla; Soricidae.